CCGCGCGAAGUUGUGCACGCACAGCACCAGGUCGUCCUCGUACUCCCGCAGGAAGGCAAGUACGGCGGGGUUGGAGGAGGGCAGUUCCGUGUAGGUGCCGAGGCCGAAGGCGGGGUUCUGCUUGCGGAUCUCGAUCAUGCGGCGGGUCCAGUGCAGCAGGGACGAGGGCGAGGCCAUGGACGCCUCGACGUUCGUCACCUGGUAGCCGUAGACCGGGUCCAUGAUGGUCGGCAGGUACAGGCGUCCCGGAUCACAGGUCGAGAAGCCGGCGUUGCGGUCCGGGGUCCACUGCAUCGGGGUGCGGACCGCGUCGCGGUCGCCGAGCCAGAUGUUGUCGCCCAUGCCGAUCUCGUCGCCGUAGUAGAGGAUCGGCGAGCCGGGCAGGGAGAGCAGCAGGGCGGUGAACAGCUCGAUCUGGUCGCGGUCGUUGUCCAGCAGGGUGGCGAGCCUGCGGCGGAUGCCGAUGUUGGCGCGCAUGCGCGGGUCCUUGGCGUACUCCGCGUACAUGUAGUCGCGUUCCUCGUCGGUGACCAUCUCGAGGGUCAGCUCGUCGUGGUUGCGCAGGAAGAUGCCCCACUGGCAGCCGGACGGGAUGGCCGGGGUCUUGGCGAGGAUCUCCGAGACGGGGUAGCGGGACUCGCGGCGGACGGCCAUGAAGAUGCGGGGCAUGACCGGGAAGUGGAAGGCCAUGUGGCACUCGUCGCCGCCGGAGGCGUAGUCGCCGAAGUAGUCGACGACGUCCUCCGGCCACUGGUUGGCCUCCGCCAGGAGCACGGUGUCGGGGUAGUGCGCGUCGAUCUCGCUGCGGACCCGCUUGAGGAACGCGUGACUGGCGGGCAGGUUCUCGCAGUUGGUGCCCUCUUCGGCGUACAGGUAGGGCACGGCGUCGAGCCGGUAGCCGUCCACGCCGAGGUCCAGCCAGAACUUCAGCGCGGCCAGCAUCUCCUCCUGGACGGCCGGGUUCUCGUAGUUCAGGUCGGGCUGGUGGGAGAAGAACCGGUGCCAGAAGUACUGGCCGCGGACCGGGUCGUAGGUCCAGUUGGACGCCUCGGUGUCGACGAAGAUGAUGCGGGCGUCGGCGUAGCGGGUGUCGUCGUCGGCCCAGACGUAGUAGUCGCCGUAGGGGCCGUCCGGGUUCUUGCGGGACUCCUGGAACCACGGGUGCUGGUCGCUGGUGUGGUUCAUGACGAAGUCGAUGAUCACGCGCAUGCCGCGCUGGUGGGCGGCGUCCACGAACUCGACGAAGUCGGCCAGGUCGCCGAACUCGGGCAGUACGGCGGUGUAGUCGGAGACGUCGUAGCCGCCGUCGCGCAGGGGCGACUUGAAGAAGGGCGGCAGCCACAGGCAGUCCACGCCCAGCCAUUGCAGGUAGUCCAGCUUGGCGGUCAGGCCCUUGAGGUCGCCGAUGCCGUCGCCGUUGCUGUCCUGGAAGGAGCGGACGAGAACCUCGUAGAAGACGGCUCGCUUGAACCAGUCCGGGUCGCGGUCCUUGGCCGGGGUGUCCUCGAACUUGUCCGGCACGGGCUCGUUCACGGUCAUGAGGCUGCGGACCCUUCGUUCCGGGGGGCGGCGGAGGACGGCCGGCGGAUGUGGAGGACGUGGGCGGGGGCCCGGCCGGGCUCCAGCCGCACGUAGUUCGUGCGGCCCCAGUGGUAGGUCUCGUCCGUGAGUUCGUCGUGGACCGGCACCGACUCGUGCCAGUCCAGGCCGAGUUGCGGCAUGUCGAGCGAGACCGUGGCCUCCUGGGUGCGGUGGGGGUCGAGGUUCGCCACCACGAGCACGGCGUCCGACCCCUCGCGCUUGCUGUACGCGAUGAGCGCGUCGUUGUCGGUGUGGUGGAAGCGGAGGUUCCUGAGCCGGUGCAGCGCGGGAUGGGCACGGCGGAUGGUGUUGAGGCGGGUGAUGAGGGGGGCGAUGGUGGUGCCCUCGCGGGUGGCGGUGGCCCAGUCGCGGGGUUUGAGCUGGUACUUCUCGCUGUCGAGGUAUUCCUCGCUGCCUUCGCGCAGGGGGGUGUUCUCGCAGAGUUCGUAGCCGCUGUAGAUGCCCCAGGUGGGGGAGAGGGUGGCGGCGAGGACGGCGCGGACCUCGAAGGCGGGGCGGCCGCCGUGCUGGAGGUAGGCGUGCAGGAUGUCGGGGGUGUUGGCGAAGAGGUUGGGCCGCAUGUAGGAGGCGGCGUCCCCCGACAGUUCGGUGAGGUACUCGGUCAGUUCCCGCUUGGUGUUGCGCCAGGUGAAGUAGGUGUAGGACUGCUGGAAGCCGAUCUGGGCGAGGGUGUGCAUCAUCGCGGGGCGGGUGAAGGCCUCGGCGAGGAAGAUGACGUCGGGGUCGGCGUGGUUGAUCUCGCCGAUGACCCUCUCCCAGAACACGACGGGUUUGGUGUGGGGGUUGUCGACGCGGAAGAUCCGCACGCCGUGGCUCAUCCAGAAGCGGAGUACCCGUACGGUCUCGGCGACGAUUCCGUCCAUGUCGGCGUCGAAGGCGAUGGGGUAGAUGUCCUGGUACUUCUUGGGCGGGUUCUCGGCGUGGGCGAUGGUGCCGUCGGGGCGGUGGUGGAACCAGUCGGGGUGUUUGUGGACCCAGGGGUGGUCGGGGGAGCACUGGAGGGCGAAGUCGAGGGCGACUUCCAUGCCCAGCCGUCCGGCCUCGGUGACGAAGCGGUCGAAGUCGUCGAGGGUGCCGAGGUCGGGGUGGACGGCGUCGUGGCCGCCUUCGGGGGAGCCGAUGGCCCAGGGGACGCCGACGUCGUCGGGGGUGGCGGAGAGGGUGUUGUUGCGGCCCUUGCGGUGGGUGGUGCCGAUGGGGUGGACGGGUGGGAGGUAGACGACGUCGAAGCCCAUGGCGGCGAUCGCCGCAAGGCGGCGGGCGGCGGUGCGGAAGGUGCCGUGGGGCCGGGCGGGGGUGCCCUCGGAGCGGGGGAAGAACUCGUACCAGGCGCCGUACAGGGCGCGUUCGCGUUCCACGAGCAGGGGCAGCGGGUCGGAGGUGGUGACCAGUUCCCGCAGCGGGUGCCGGGCCAGCACCGCGUCCACCUCGGGCGUCAACGCCGCCGCCAACCGGGUGGCCACGGGGAGCGUGUCGUCGAGCAGCAUCUCGGCGGCGGCCAGCACCACGGCACGGCCGUCGUCCCUGGGUACCCCCGCGGCGG
RNAcentral lists this ribosomal RNA (3145 nucleotides) under Streptomyces mutabilis. Lineage: Bacteria; Bacillati; Actinomycetota; Actinomycetes; Kitasatosporales; Streptomycetaceae. The record is from RNAcentral.